AAAAUGAUGUCAUUUUCCAAAUGACAGAGCGCAAAACUAAAUCAACGUUCCGUUAAAAGGUGGUACGAACAUUGUUAUUGAUUCUUACAGAGCAAUUAUUACCAAAGUCAACAAUCCUUGGGUCUCUUUGGAAAUUGCGGAAUUCUUAAAGCUAUUGUUGGGUUUUAGCAUCGGGUGCCAAGCUGACAGGAAGCUGGAAGGAAUUCAAAAUCUCUUAGUUUGCUUGAGUCAGGGACUUGAGUUGUCGACUUUUGAAACUGCCUUCGAAAAUCACGACGUACUUUAAAUCCAACCUGUUGAUGGACUGGAAAUGAUCAUGCCGGGAAGAACAAGUGUUACUCUAAGAUUCCUUGUGGCUUUUAUCGGUGUUACCCUUGCCGUGUUUAUCCAAGAAAAUGACAACAUGGAAUCAGAAGAAGGAUACGCAAAACUAUACAACGAAAGCUCAGUGUUUCACCCCGAUGGUAACGGUGAUUAUUUGGUGCGAAUACUGACUGUCGGGGGAGGGGCUGGGGGCUGCGGAGGCUUGAGCGGCCCACGGCCAGGUCAGCGUGGGCAGAUAUCGAUUGACAUCAAGUUCAUCCAGGGAAAGACACCCAUCAACGUCACAGUAGGGAUGGGUGGUGCUGGUUCGUUGGUUGGGCGGUAUAGCGGCGGCGGCGAUUCGUCAUUCGGAGGAUAUGCAGUAGCUUCAGGAGCCUUACCUUGCCUUCCUGAGUUCAAGAAAAUGCCAUUCUAUCGAAACAGGGGUUUGCAAAUGUUCAUAUGGAGCUCGUUCACCAGAGGAGACAAAGGGGAGGCAGUAUUGCAUCUCGAAGGCGGCGAGGGAGGAAUUCUUAUCAAUAACACAGGCCCUCCACGAGUAUCAAGUAUACCGAACACAGCCGGUGGAAGAGGCUUAGGAUACGGCGCCGGCGGGGGGUCGGGUGGGAGAGGAAUUGACAGCAACACAUCUUCCCCGUGCUGCAAAGGCACGGAUGGGGCGUCUGGCGUGGUGUAUAUUGAAGUCAGACCGAAAGUUUGCCGCAAAAAGAUCGACGUCGUUUUUGCUAUUGAGCUCCGCACUACAAAGGGUGAAAUAGAAUAUCAAAAGAAAGCGGCGGAAGAUUUAGUUGGGGCGAUGAAAAUAGGAGAACACUAUGGCAGGGCAGCGGUUGUGGUAUACAGCGAAACUGCCGCACAAAUUAUCGGAUUCGUGAAAUCCGAAAACGAGACUUCCUUGACGAGAAAUAUUCUGGAAAAGGACUUCGGCUCUUCUGUUAAAAUAAACGAGUCUGGCGUUAUUUUCUCCAAUCUAUACGCAACGGUGGAUGUUAUCUGGAACAUGUCCUCACGCGAAAAUGUUCUGAGAACGCUAGUACUGUUCACAUAUUCCGGAAAAGUUAAAGCGAGUGAUGCGGGAUGGUUUGCGGAGAAAAAGCGAGAACUUCAAAACAGCAAUGUCAAUAUCAUAGCGGUGGGACUUGGGACUGCUAGGGCAGAAGAUCUAAUCAAAUUGGUCACUUCAUCGGAUUAUUAUCACGUGGAGAAUAGGUCGCUUGCUCUUGUCGACUUUGUGCCUUGGAUUGCCGAUUUAGCCUGUAAUGGCCAGAAACCAUACCGUCCUUAUGCACCCCGUCCCACAAUUACAGUUCACCCAACAGCAACUCCAGAACAAGCCCAGACCGCAACACCUAGCCCUACAGCCGUCCCCAUGGUAACCGUUACCAGGAGAGCCACGCAAACAACUAGUAAAGUACCAGCACCGCAAGCCACCUCUAUAACAGCAACCAUUGGGUCUGCUCCAUCCUCUAACGAUGCUGUGGCACACACCACCGAAGUGACUGUACCCACUUCGACAGAGUCUGAGGUUUCGUCUACCAAAGCACUUCCCACUGUCGUAGACAAGUUAACAACGACGCAGUCACCUCCUAAGACAAUGGAAGAGCUGACAAAAGAUUUCGAGGAUCUUAUGAAUUACGAUCAGGAGAAGAUGGACGUUGAAAAUGCAACAGAGAUAGAGCGAGUUGUGGGUCUCGUUUAUAGUAUUCUCACAGAAGGACAUCGCCUUCAGAACGCAACUCAGGAAGCACCCGAACUUCAAGUGUUAGAAUUCGCCGAAGAGUUCGGCCUUCAGAUGGCGCAGAGAAUGAGACAUGACAAGGAAGGCGUUGCAAGUCAUCACUUCUCGCAAGAUACCAUGGGUUUUGCUGUGGUCUCUGUUAACAUGACUGUCAUUUCAUCUGAUAAAAAGAGUCUUCGUUUGACCGAACUCGUAGGCGCAGACGACAGUGAUCCGUUAAUGGUUUCGGAUGCGAUAAUUCCGAUGGAUGUCUUCAGCAAGAGCCCAGAAAGUAACGCUGGUGUAGUGUGGCUCACUUACCCUCAUCCUCAUUUCAUGGAAUACGAUAAUCGGACGAACAUUAGCAGUCACGUGAUGGCCGUUGUGGUGUCGCCUAAAGUGACGUCACGAUUUAAAGAACCAGUAGAACUUGUUUUUAAGUUCCCUCAGUCUAACAGGGAAGAUGUUGUUCGAGAGUGUGCCUUCUGGGACAUAACGAAACGUGAUGGUAGCCCGCAUGGAUCCUGGUCAAUUGAAGGGUGUAGACUGGGACCGAGGAACGCAACGCAGAUCACGUGUUACUGCGAUCACCUGACCAACUUUGCCAUACUAACAAGACUAAAAGCAAAGGACCCUACCGUUCACGACGACUACCUGACGUACAUCACAUUUAUCGGCCUUGGACUGUCAAUUGCCGGCUGUGUCCUGACGAUCCUAACUCACCUAUUCCUUCCGAGUCUUCGGUCAGAGCGAGUUUUCAUUCACAUUAACCUAGUCACUGCCAUACUUUUUGCGCAAAUACUUUUUAUUGUUGGUGCAACGCACAGAGAGCCUCAAAGCCUGUGCCUCAGUGUAGCCGUGCUACUGUAUUUCUUCUACAUGUCCGUGUUCACGUGGAUGUUAGUGGAGGGCAUCCAUAUCUACUGCCUUGUCAUAAGAGUCUUCAACUCCGGUCGAGGCAGAAAGAAGAUCUACACAGUUAUCGGUUGGGGUUUACCAGCUCUUCUCACCCUGUGUUGUGCCUCGGCGUUCCGCUGGAGUUUCUAUACACCAGACACUUGCUGGCUGUCUCUGGAGAGUGGAGCAAUUUGGGCCUUCGUAGCCCCCGCGCUAGUAGUUAUCGCGUUCAAUUUGGUGAUCCUGUUUAUGGUUCUGCGAGUGACAGCAGUCAUGCUGAAGGACGAGUCACAGACCAGCUCAAAGGCGUUAGUUAAGGCGUUCGUCACGCUUCUACCUAUCCUUGGUCUAACAUGGCUCUUUGGCUUCUUGGCGUUCAACAACAAAACUGUCAUGUUUGAGUAUCUUUUCGCUAUCUUCAACUCCAUGCAGGGCUUCCUAAUCUUCGUCUUCUAUUGUCUGCUGAGUUCAGAGGUGAGGAGAGAGUUUCUUAGGAAAAUCAGGAACCUCGAAAUGAAACGGAGCCUGCGGAACUCAUACAACCCUUCAGGAACAACGCCAAACACUCCCAGGAUGCAGAUGGAAACCAAGAAAAGUACGGUGCCUGAGUUAAAAGCGCUAAGAGAGCUAUACCAUACUAGGCUAUAACAUCAACAACGCUAUAGCAUUUAUAGUAGUAUAUAGGCUAUAAUAUAAACGAGGCUAUAGUAUCUAGACUAGGUUAUAGGCUAUAAUAUAAACGAGGCUAUAGUAUCUACACUAGGUUAUAGGCUAUAAUAUAAACGAGGCUUUAGUAUCUACACUAGGUUAUAGGCUAUAAUAUAAACGAGACUAUAGUAUCUACACUAGGUUAUAGGCUAUAAUAUAAACGAGGCUUUAGUAUCUAGAUUAGGUUAUAGGCUAUAAUAUAAACGAGGGCUAUAGUAUCUAAACUAGGUUACUAUAAUAUAAACGAGGCUAUAGUAUCUAUAGUAUUCAAUAGGCUGUAAUUUAUCAACAAGGCUAUAGUAUCUAAAGUAGGCUAUAUCAUUAAUAAGGCUAUAGUAUUUAUAGUAGGUUAUAGGCUAUUAUAUCAAUAAGGCUAUAGAGCUAUCAUAGGGGAUGGGUCUAAGUUCAUGUAGCCUUUAAAUCUAGAUCUAUCUAAUAAAAACAAAAUAUUUUAAGGUUUCAAACGAUAUGGUUUGGCUAUGAAACCAAACGCACCAAAAGUCUCAGAGUCGGAGAUCGAAUACUAUUGGUCAUUACUUAUGUUCUAAAAGUCAUUACUUAUGUUUUAAUAGGUAUAAAAUCAGGAAGUAGUAUGACGCGCAUAUCACGCGUAGCUUUAUAACUCCAUGAGUCAUUCGACUCACUUUUAUUUUGUAGAUAGUCAUGAAAAAAGUUGUUAACUUCAUAAUUCCAUGAGUCAUUCGACUCUCUUUCAUUGUGUAGUCAUGAAAGAAGUUGUUUCUUUUCAACUAAUCUUGACUUUAGGUUUAGGCGGUUUGGGCAGAGAUAGAUACUCUAUAUAACACGUCAGGGCUGUUUUUAAUCGGGAGGUCUUAUCAAAGAGUUGUAGCCUGCGGAAAACGCUCUCGAAAAGCGGCCCAUAAAAAGCUCCCGGAAAUGCCGUUCUAGUAUAGUAGUGCUCGACCAAAAAUAGGGAGAUUGGUGUUUCUCCGUUUUUCAUGCAACUAAGCUCAGCUAAACAAGACCGGUUUUUCGUCUUUCAUGCAACAAGCGCGCUGAACAGGCUAAAGACUGAUGGCUUCUACCCCAAUUGUGGUGUAGCUAAAUUGACUGCGCAAAUGGGCUGAGUCUACUAUAAAGCAUAGGCAGACAACAAAUUUUAGACAACAAUCUUUUACAAAGAUUAUUAUCUUUUAUUAGUUUUUUAAAGAGCCGUAGUGAGCCACACCAUUAUUACUGUUUUCAUUCAAAUAGAAGACAAAUUACGCUAAGAAAUAAUCCUCUUUAAAACAUAGCGUUGUACUUUUUUUUAACAAAUUCAAUCGAAUAUAUCACAAUAGAUUCUUUAAGUCAUUUACUAGCACGAUGAUAUUGGGAGAUAGAGACUCUUUAAAGUUGAGUCCAAAUUUUCUAGAAUAAAAUCUGCCCCUUGGCAAACAAGGAAACAUAGACGAAGCUUACAUAUUGUAAAUAUCGAUGUAUAUAUUUUCUAUUUGUCCGAUUGCAUAUGCUUUAAGGCAUUUAAAAA
Nematostella vectensis (starlet sea anemone) is the source of this 5135-nucleotide RNA transcript. It is a transcript of the gene named adhesion G protein-coupled receptor L1, with no coding region annotated. The record is from RefSeq and is a predicted model, not a curated record. The transcript has 26 exons. Lineage: Eukaryota; Metazoa; Cnidaria; Anthozoa; Actiniaria; Edwardsiidae.